GGCGAUGUGCGAGCUUUUCUUCCUGUUUUAUGCGUGGAUGUGUAGAGGCAGGUGGAGGGAGUCGGAGAGAAUGUGGGGCCAGCAACAACAUGGAAGGGACAGGCGGGAAGCCCACUGCUGUUGUUGCAGUUGUGACUGAGCCUCGAUUUACCCAGCAAUACAGGGAAUAUCUCGAGAAGCAGAAACUCCUGGAUCGACAACACCGUGUGAAAAAGCUGCGGGAUGGCACCGUGGCGCUACCGGUUCUGAGGGAGGCCCUCCUUGAGCAGCAUCUGCAGGAGCUGAGGAAUCGUGUGGCUCCAGGCAGCACCUGUGUGCUGACGCAGCUCCUGGAUCCUGUUCCUUCAAAGAAGGCCCAGAGUUACUCACCUGCCCAAAGGCUGUGUCUUGAGGUGAGUCGCUGGGUAGAGGGCCGCGGAGUGACGUGGUCGGCCGAGUUGGAGGCUGACCUGCCCCGAUCUUGGCAACGACACGGUGACCUCUUGUUGCUGAGUGAGGACUGUUUCCAAGGCAAGCAAUGGAGACAUCUGGAGCCAGAACUCUGGGAGACGGUUGCCUCGGCACUUGGCGUCCAGCGUUUGGCCAAACGAGGGCGGGUGUCCCCGGAUAGCACUCGGACUCCAGCGGUGAGGAUGCUGCUGGGCAACCACGGCUGGGUAGAGCAUGUGGAUAAUGGGAUUCGGUAUAAGUUUGACGUGACCCAGUGCAUGUUCUCCUUCGGAAACAUCACUGAGAAGCUUCGUGUGGCGUCGCUGCCCUGCGCCGGAGAAGUGCUGGUGGAUCUCUAUGCGGGGAUUGGUUAUUUUACCUUGCCUUUCCUAGUUCAUGCCGAGGCUGCUUUCGUCCAUGCUUGUGAGUGGAAUCCCCAUGCAGUAGUUGCUCUGAGAAAUAACCUUGAACUCAAUGGAGUAGCUGAUCGAUGCCAAAUACACUUUGGGGAUAACAGAAAACUGAAGCUAUCAAACGUUGCGGACCGGGUGAAUCUGGGGCUGAUUCCCAGCUCUGAAGAAGGCUGGCCCAUUGCCUGCCGAUUGCUAAAACAGGAUGCUGGAGGCAUUUUGCAUAUUCACCAAAAUGUGGAGUCUUUCCCAGGGAAGACUCUCCAGCCUCCUGGAAGCAGUGAGAUAGAAGAGCAUUGGCCUUCUCCUCAGCAGAUUAUCAGCAACCAGUUGAAAAAUGGAGCUACCAGUGAUUCUAGGAGGAAAACACUGUCAGUGGCUACCAAGCCAGAGUGGCAGAGGUGGGCCGAAGCUGCAGAGACUCGAAUUGCCACUCUUCUUCAUCAGGUGCAUGGAAAACCGUGGAAGACACAAAUCUUGCACAUCCAACCAGUGAAAUCCUAUGCUCCCCACGUGGAUCACAUAGUCCUGGAUUUGGAAUGCCGCCCCUGUCCUCUAGUUGGCUAGAGGAGGUGGAUCCUGAGAUGGGAGGAUCUACUUGUGAGUCACCCUGAAAGCAUCAGCUCAGGCUGGAUCUCACCCCUCUUGUCUCCUGUUUUCUCCAAGCACUUGCUGGAUGGCCUGACCCAGAAGAGAUGUGUAACUGAACCAAGGAAAGACUAAAGGAGUCAGGAGGCUCACAGAGUCCUUACAGAUUCAAUCCAGGAAUUUGUAGAAGCGCUAAAGCUUUCCUUUGCAGGUGUCAGUAUUAGUUGCUGAUUAAUGCUCCCACUUGAUGGAGAAGUUGUGAUUAAAAAGCAAUGAUUUUAUCAAACUCUUAACCAUGAACUGUAUUCAUUAACUCCAUAAUUUUAAUAAAUUAUAUACUUGUAUUAAUAUAUUAGUAUCAUGUAUAACUUUAAUUAUGCAAAUUAAAAAUGAUGAGAAACUAGUAUGUAGAAAAGUUUUGGGUUUUUUUUCCCAAUUUAAACCACAUCUUUAGUGAUUUUUUUUUAAGUAUAAUGGAUGGCAUUAGGUUUUUUAAUAAUUAUUCCAUUUUGCAUAGUACAUUUGAUAUACAUUAAUGAAAAACAUGAAUCAGGAUUUAACUGGACCGGAAAUAUAGGGCUUAUGAGAUCAUUUUUCUCUUAGAAAAAGCGUUUUUAAUUUCAGUUUUUCCCACCCUGAAUGCACAUAUGAGAAGAAACUCAAUAUAUGUCAUUCUGAACAGCCUCAGGGUGCAGCCACUUCACACUGGACAAGCCAUUAAAAUAGUCAUUUUCAAGCUGAACUAUUAUUUUAAAUGAUUAAAACUAUUUUCAUAUUUCUAAAAACAUUUUUGAGUUUUGUUCUGGAAUAGUUAAGUUACUUGAACAGUUUGAUCUUUUUGAAUCUUGUUUUUGAGCAUUUGUCAGAGCAGCAUUUAGUCUGGGAUGAAUUUUUUUCCAUCAUGAAGCAAGACCUUUCUUCAUUCUCUGACUGAUGCCUUGUGAAUUAGGACAUUUGCCACUCUUACUGGUAGGAACAAGAAUUACCCAGCACCCUGUGUGUGUGAGCUCUGAGUAUUGUCUCCUGUAAUCCUUUCGGAUGGUUCUUCUGUUGGCCUUUGGUAGUUUCCUGUCACGUGGGGGGGGUCAUUACUCAGCUGAAUGCCUUUAGGGCCUGGUCAGCAGAUCUCUAGAGUUCUCUCUGUGUGUGCCUCUCUGCUUCCUGGCAUUCUGCCCUGUGAACUCUAUAGUUACCUGGGCUCCCAGGACUCUGAGUCCCAUCUCCUCACCACAGGGAGUCUGCUGACCUCCCCUCGCUUCUUGUGCCACAGCCUAGAACACUUCUCCAGGCAGUGGACCGAAGCAACUGUAUGGCUCACUUUGUUUUCCAGUUCUCGUGGACAUUGCCCCCUUCAUCGCCUAUGUCCAGUGGCUUGCGUUGUUUCAUAAAUUCUGUCUAGUUUUUUUAAACUAUUUAGAAGUUUACAAUAAUUGUUUUGUACGUAAAUGUACAGCUUUCACAAUCAUUGCAGAAAUUCACUCUAGCAAUAAUAAAUAUACAUAACGCA
Molecule: RNA transcript, 2934 nt
Organism: Cervus elaphus (red deer)
Lineage: Eukaryota; Metazoa; Chordata; Mammalia; Artiodactyla; Cervidae
Gene: TYW2
Gene name: tRNA methyltransferase 12 homolog
Exons: 2
Source: RefSeq, a predicted model, not a curated record